Molecule: ribosomal RNA, 445 nt
Filed under: uncultured Rhodospirillaceae bacterium
Lineage: Bacteria; Pseudomonadati; Pseudomonadota; Alphaproteobacteria; Rhodospirillales; Rhodospirillaceae
Description: bacterial SSU rRNA
Rfam family: Bacterial small subunit ribosomal RNA
Source: RNAcentral
GACCUACGGGGGGCAGCAGUGGGGAAUAUUGGACAAUGGGCGCAAGCCCGAUCCAGCAAUGCCGCGUGAGUGAGGAAGGCCUUAGGGUUGUAAAGCUCUUUCACCCGCGACGAUGAUGACGGUAGCGGGAGAAGAAGCCCCGGCUAACUUCGUGCCAGCAGCCGCGGUAAUACGAAGGGGGCGAGCGUUGUUCGGAUUUACUGGGCGUAAAGGGCGCGCAGGCGGCUCGUUUUGUCAGGCGUGAAAGCCCCGGGCUUAACCUGGGAACUGCGCUUGAUACGGGCGGGCUAGAGUUCGGGAGAGGAGAGUGGAAUUCCCAGUGUAGAGGUGAAAUUCGUAGAUAUUGGGAAGAACACCGGUGGCGAAGGCGGCUCUCUGGACCGAGACUGACGCUGAGGCGCGAAAGCGUGGGGAGCAAACAGGAUUAGAUACCCCGGUAGUCAAG